UUUGGUGGCGAUGCGUUUUUGGAAAACACCCGUUCUCAUCCCGAACACGAUGGUUAAGACUUAAACGGCCGAUGAUACUAUACUGGUAACGGUAUGGGAAAGUAGGUGGCUGCCAAAU
RNAcentral lists this ribosomal RNA (118 nucleotides) under Enterococcus gallinarum. The record is from RNAcentral. Lineage: Bacteria; Bacillati; Bacillota; Bacilli; Lactobacillales; Enterococcaceae.